RNAcentral lists this ribosomal RNA (486 nucleotides) under uncultured bacterium. Its description in RNAcentral is "partial 16S ribosomal RNA". It matches the Rfam family "Bacterial small subunit ribosomal RNA", at positions 29 to 507 of the family's 1533-position model. The record is from RNAcentral.
AUUGAACGCUGGCGGCAUGCCUUACACAUGCAAGUCGAACGGCAGCACGGGGGGUAACCCCUGGUGGCGAGUGGCGAACGGGUGAGUAAUAUAUCGGAACGUGUCCUGUAGCGGGGGAUAACCUAUCGAAAGAUGGACUAAUACCGCAUACGACCUACGGGUGAAAGCGGAGGACCGCAAGGCUUCGCACUAUAGGAGCGGCCGAUAUCGGAUUAGCUAGUUGGCGGGGUAACGGCCCACCAAGGCGACGAUCCGUAGCUGGUCUGAGAGGACGAUCAGCCACACUGGAACUGAGACACGGUCCAGACUCCUACGGGAGGCAGCAGUGGGGAAUUUUGGACAAUGGGCGCAAGCCUGAUCCAGCCAUGCCGCGUGAGUGAAGAAGGCCUUCGGGUCGUAAAGCUCUUUCGGCGGGGACGAAACGGUUCGUGCUAAUACCACGGACUACUGACGGUACCCGCAGAAGAAGCACCGGCUAACUACGUG